CCUACGGGAGGCAGCAGUGGGGAAUAUUGGACAAUGGGGGGAACCCUGAUCCAGCGACGCCGCGUGAGUGAAGAAGUAUUUCGGUAUGUAAAGCUCUAUCAGCAGGGAAGAAAGAAAUGACGGUACCUGACUAAGAAGCCCCGGCUAACUACGUGCCAGCAGCCGCGGUAAUACGUAGGGGGCAAGCGUUAUCCGGAUUUACUGGGUGUAAAGGGAGCGUAGACGGCGAUGCAAGUCUGAAGUGAAAGGCGGGGGCCCAACCCCCGGACUGCUUGGGAAACUGUAUGGCUGGAGUGCAGGAGAGGUAAGUGGAAUUCCUAGUGUAGCGGUGAAAUGCGUAGAGAUUAGGAGGAACACCAGUGGCGAAGGCGGCUUACUGGACUGUAACUGACGUUGAGGCUCGAAAGCGUGGGGAGCAAACAGGAUUAGAUACCCGGGUAGUC
Molecule: ribosomal RNA, 443 nt
Filed under: uncultured bacterium
Lineage: Bacteria
Description: partial 16S ribosomal RNA
Rfam family: Bacterial small subunit ribosomal RNA
Source: RNAcentral